Molecule: small RNA, 133 nt
Filed under: Thioalkalivibrio paradoxus ARh 1
Lineage: Bacteria; Pseudomonadati; Pseudomonadota; Gammaproteobacteria; Chromatiales; Ectothiorhodospiraceae
Description: RtT RNA
Rfam family: RtT RNA
About the family: This family represents a bacterial cis-regulatory element known as RtT RNA.
Source: RNAcentral
UGUUGAUCGAGCACGGCCAGGGUUCGAACCUGCAAGGUUCGACGCGCGAGGCGCAGCCGAGCCGAACAGCGCCGCUUGCGGCGCUGGCCCGAAGGGCGAGGCCGCAGGCCGAGUAAUCCUGGUCCCCCAGCCA